AAUUUGUUCAGCGUUUUGAAGUUUAGCGUCACUUUUGCACGAGACUUGCUGUUCAGAAGACGUGGUCUGAUCCAGUGCUGGGUAAUACUAAAUUGCAGAUCAUUGAAAAAGAGGACCUGAACAACAGGAGUGACAAUAUGAGCGAUUGAUGGCCUGGUGAUGUACUACCUUUAAAACUUAGGUAAUGUCUGUUUCUGUUUUUUCGAAGAGUUAUGUAAAAUCUCAAUUAUAAAAGAAAUAAAUUUGCUUGUUUACAGGAACCCCCCCCCCCCCCUCCCCCUCACAGAUAACAACAAUUAAGCAAAAGCAUUAAAAUUAAAACAAUGAAAUAAAAUCAACCUAUAACUAAACUACAAUAAACUGUUGAGAUAACACAAUAACAAUAAAUAAAUAACAUAAAAUGAAAUAAAUAAAAAAAAAAAAAAAA
Pecten maximus is the source of this 427-nucleotide long non-coding RNA. RefSeq lists it as uncharacterized. The transcript is spliced from 2 exons. Lineage: Eukaryota; Metazoa; Mollusca; Bivalvia; Pectinida; Pectinidae. The record is from RefSeq and is a predicted model, not a curated record.